AUAGAGGUUUCAUUAGAAACCAUCCAAUUUAAAAAGGAACUGGGCGG
Non-coding RNA from Haliaeetus albicilla (white-tailed eagle), 47 nucleotides. NCBI's taxonomy places the organism in Eukaryota, Metazoa, Chordata, Aves, Accipitriformes, Accipitridae. The record is from Rfam.